AGACGAACGCUGGCGGCGUGCCUAAUACAUGCAAGUCGAGCGGACAGAAGGGAGCUUGCUCCCGGAUGUUAGCGGCGGACGAGUGAGUAACACGUGGGUAACCUGCCUGUAAGACUGGGAUAACUCCGGGAAACCGGAGCUAAUACCGGAUAGUUCCUUGAACCGCAUGGUUCAAGGAUGAAAGACGGUUUCGGCUGUCACUUACAGAUGGACCCGCGGCGCAUUAGCUAGUUGGUGGGGUAAUGGCUCACCAAGGCGACGAUGCGUAGCCGACCUGAGAGGGUGAUCGGCCACACUGGGACUGAGACACGGCCCAGACUCCUACGGGAGGCAGCAGUAGGGAAUCUUCCGCAAUGGACGAAAGUCUGACGGAGCAACGCCGCGUGAGUGAUGAAGGUUUUCGGAUCGUAAAGCUCUGUUGUUAGGGAAGAACAAGUGCGAGAGUAACUGCUCGCACCUUGACGGUACCUAACCAGAAAGCCACGGCUAACUACGUGCCAGCAGCCGCGGUAAUACGUAGGUGGCAAGCGUUGUCCGGAAUUAUUGGGCGUAAAGGGCUCGCAGGCGGUUUCUUAAGUCUGAUGUGAAAGCCCCCGGCUCAACCGGGGAGGGUCAUUGGAAACUGGGAAACUUGAGUGCAGAAGAGGAGAGUGGAAUUCCACGUGUAGCGGUGAAAUGCGUAGAGAUGUGGAGGAACACCAGUGGCGAAGGCGACUCUCUGGUCUGUAACUGACGCUGAGGAGCGAAAGCGUGGGGAGCGAACAGGAUUAGAUACCCUGGUAGUCCACGCCGUAAACGAUGAGUGCUAAGUGUUAGGGGGUUUCCGCCCCUUAGUGCUGCUAGCUAAACA
RNAcentral lists this ribosomal RNA (850 nucleotides) under Bacillus pumilus. RNAcentral describes it as "bacterial SSU rRNA". It matches the Rfam family "Bacterial small subunit ribosomal RNA", at positions 26 to 858 of the family's 1533-position model. The record is from RNAcentral. Lineage: Bacteria; Bacillati; Bacillota; Bacilli; Caryophanales; Bacillaceae.